CCUACGGGAGGCAGCAGUGGGGAAUAUUGCACAAUGGGGGAAACCCUGAUGCAGCGACGCCGCGUGAGUGAAGAAGUAAUUCGUUAUGUAAAGCUCUAUCAGCAGGGAAGAAAAUGACGGUACCUGAGUAAGAAGCCCCGGCUAACUACGUGCCAGCAGCCGCGGUAAUACGUAGGGGGCAAGCGGUAUCCGGAUUUACUGGGUGGAAAGGGAGCGUAGACGGCGGUGCAAGUCUGGAGUGAAAGGCGGGGGCUCAACCCCCGGACUGCUCUGGAAACUGUACGGCUGGAGUGCAGGAGAGGUAAGUGGAAUUCCUAGUGUAGCGGUGAAAUGCGUAGAUAUUAGGAGGAACACCAGUGGCGAAGGCGGCUUACUGGACUGUAACUGACGUUGAGGCUCGAAAGCGUGGGGAGCAAACAGGAUUAGAUACCCGAGUAGUC
RNAcentral lists this ribosomal RNA (440 nucleotides) under uncultured bacterium. RNAcentral's name for it is "partial 16S ribosomal RNA". It matches the Rfam family "Bacterial small subunit ribosomal RNA", at positions 338 to 795 of the family's 1533-position model. The record is from RNAcentral.